UUUAAAUGUAAAAUAAAUAUACUAAAGUAGUAUUAGUUAUGUUCUUGAAAUUUAAAGAUUUUGGCGGUAUUUUAGUCUAUUUAGAGGAGCCUGUUCUAUGAUUGAUAAUCCACGAUUUAUUUUACUUAAUUUAAAUAAAUUUGUAUACCGUCGUUAUUAGAAGAUUUUAAAAGAAGAUAAAUUUUUAAUAUUUUAAAUAAAAAAAUAUAUCAGAUCAAGGUGCAGUUUAUAAUUAAGAAGAAAUGGGCUACAAUAAAUUUAUUUAAUUAAAACGGAUUGAAGUAAGAAUUUGACUUUAUGAAGGUGGAUUUAAUAGUAAUAAAAUUAAUUUAAAUUUUGUGAUUUUAGCUCUAAAAUAUG
This 360-nucleotide ribosomal RNA is filed under the name Carabus galicianus galicianus. Its description in RNAcentral is "partial 12S ribosomal RNA". The record is from RNAcentral. Lineage: Eukaryota; Metazoa; Arthropoda; Insecta; Coleoptera; Carabidae.